AACGUUGAAGACGACGACGUUGAUAGGCCGGGUGUGUAAGCGCAGCGAUGCGUUGAGCUAACCGGUACUAAUGAACCGUGAGGCUUAACCUUACAACGCCGAAGGUGUUU
RNAcentral lists this ribosomal RNA (110 nucleotides) under Escherichia coli. RNAcentral describes it as "partial 23S ribosomal RNA". The stretch from base 1 to 92 matches the Rfam family "Bacterial large subunit ribosomal RNA", at positions 2834 to 2925 of the family's 2925-position model. Lineage: Bacteria; Pseudomonadati; Pseudomonadota; Gammaproteobacteria; Enterobacterales; Enterobacteriaceae. The record is from RNAcentral.